GUCUACGGCCAUACCACCCUGAACAAGCCUGAUGUCUGAUCUCAGUAGCUAAGCAGGGUCGGGCCUGGUUAGUACUUGGAUGGGAGACCACCUAGGAAGACCAAGUGCUGUAGGCA
RNAcentral lists this ribosomal RNA (116 nucleotides) under Pteropus alecto (black flying fox). The record is from RNAcentral. RNAcentral also lists the same sequence under 1 other name. Lineage: Eukaryota; Metazoa; Chordata; Mammalia; Chiroptera; Pteropodidae.